Non-coding RNA from Kogia breviceps (pygmy sperm whale), 367 nucleotides. The record is from RefSeq and is a predicted model, not a curated record. Lineage: Eukaryota; Metazoa; Chordata; Mammalia; Artiodactyla; Physeteridae.
CAGUCGGAUCACGGCCGCCUUGGUGUUGUCGCCAAAGCCCAGCCCAUCACAGAAGCCAGCCCCCACGGCCACUAUAUUCUUUGAAGAGUGAAGUCACGGGUCUGUCCAGGAUCCAGAGUUCUGGCCAUCAAUCCGUCUGGGUGUCCUGGACAUCUUAUCUCCCAUUAGCCUGAGUGCUCCCCCAGGGCAUCUCCUCUUCCCCCUGGACCAACCUUUGGAGCCAGGGACAGGGAUGUCCCGCAAGGGGCUAUAGGGGGAAGGAAGAAGGAAGCCCAAUGUCUGAUGGUGGCCCUUGAGCUGAUCACAGAUCUUGCCGAUGAACUGAUGGGGUACCACGAAGAUCAGGAUGUCAGCAUCCGCUGCAGCC